AUUGAACGCUGGCGGCAGGCCUAACACAUGCAAGUCGAGCGGUAGAGAGGUGCUUGCAUCUCUUGAGAGCGGCGGACGGGUGAGUAAUGCCUAGGAAUCUGCCUAGUGGUGGGGGGAUAACGUUCGGAAACGGACGCUAAUACCGCAUACGUUCUACGGGAGAAAGCGGGGGAUCUUCGGACCUCGCGCCAUUAGAUGAGCCUAGGUCGGAUUAGCUAGUUGGUGAGGCAAUGGCUCACCAAGGCGACGAUCCGUAACUGGUCUGAGAGGAUGAUCAGUCACACUGGAACUGAGACACGGUCCAGACUCCUACGGGAGGCAGCAGUGGGGAAUAUUGGACAAUGGGCGCAAGCCUGAUCCAGCCAUGCCGCGUGUGUGAAGAAGGCC
Molecule: ribosomal RNA, 387 nt
Filed under: uncultured bacterium
Lineage: Bacteria
Description: bacterial SSU rRNA
Rfam family: Bacterial small subunit ribosomal RNA
Source: RNAcentral